Molecule: RNA transcript, 2243 nt
Organism: Myotis brandtii (Brandt's bat)
Lineage: Eukaryota; Metazoa; Chordata; Mammalia; Chiroptera; Vespertilionidae
Gene: LYRM7
Gene name: LYR motif containing 7
Exons: 6
Source: RefSeq, a predicted model, not a curated record
GCCGACAGGGGAGAGCGGGGGAUGGGGGCGUUAAGAGCGCAGCCUGACGAAAGUUGUAUGGAGUUCUGUAACGGGUUCAGGCCCUCCACAGAGGAUGUGGCCUUCGCCCCUGAGGAGAACGGUUGUGCAGGUUUUACAGCUCUUUAAAAGAUUGCACAGGACCAGACAACAAGUUUUUAAAAAUGAUACCAGAGCAUUAGAAGCAGCCAGAAUAAAAAUAAAUGAAGAAUUCAAAAGUAAUAAAAAUGAAGCUUCCUCUAAGAAAAUAGAAGAGCUAAUAAAAAUAGGUUCUGAUGUGGAAUUGUUGCUCAGAACAUCUGUUGUACAAGGUAUUCACACAGACCACAAUACACUGAGAAUUGGCUCAUGCUGUUUAUGGAGGCCAAGAAGUUCCACCAUCUGCCAUAUCCAAGCUGGAGAACCAGGAAAGCCUGUGGUGUAAUUCAGCUCCAGUCUGAAGGCCUGCGAGUGAGAGUGUGGGUUGGGGAGCUUGGUGGUGUCAGUCCUGCUCUCUGUCUGAAAGCCCCAGGACUGAAAGCACCAAUGUCUGAGGACAAAAAUGGAUGUCUCAACUCAAACCGAAGGCAAAUUGACCUUUCUUCCACCUUUUUGUUGCAUUCAGGCCCUCAGUGGAUUAGAUGAUGCCCAUUGGUAAGGGAGAUAGAUGAACACAAAUAGUCAUCUAUGAUAAUAGCCCAUUUGGGGGGAGUUUUGUUUUAUGUAGAAAAUUGCAUUUUUAUUUGAUUUAUAAUAUUGAUAAGAAAACAGAGUGUUUGUCAGAUCAAUGAAAAGUCAGCUUUCCAAGUUGGCAUCUGUGCCCGCCCCCUCAGAAAUCCUCCCCCACUACUCAUGCCCCAGGUAUAUUUAGGGAAGAUAAAGAAGGGAGCAAUUUUUCUGAUGGUUGUUGACAUUCAAUUGAAGAUGCUCCAAAUUAGAUGAGGACAGAGGAAAGAAAGAAUCAUAUGUUACUGUCAAUUGGGUUCCAUUUAGAAUUAGAAAGGAAGAAGAAAGAAACAAUUUCCUAUUAUAAGUAAAUGGACAGGGUAAUGAUGAGUCAAUUAGAUUAGCUAAGAAAUGAUGCUAUGGAAGGAGAGAAAAUAAUCUACUAUUUUUGAAAAAUGGGUGGGGUGACAAUUAUUUAAUUCUGUUAGUGAAGAAACGAGUCAGUGCUUAUUAUACCUUUUAGGGGAAGAGGUCUGAAGACUUGAAUCUAGGACAAAUCUGGAAGCUUGGCAGCAAGCAAAGAAACUAAGACUGGAUCAGAGGUGGGAUGAAGGUAAAAAAUGAUGUUGUCAUCUGUAUCUGCCUUUCUGAGGGGAUCGCUGGACGUGGUAUUGAGAAGACAGGGUUCUGUGUCCCUGCCAGUGCACAUGUCACACCGAAAUCUGCUGAGAUAAAACAGCCAGACAAGGACAAGAUAGUGUGUCAUCUGAGGCCAAAAUAGGAUUGUGGGGUCCUCAUCUGCGAUAGACACGCACCAGAAAUGUAAAGGCAAGUGCAGUGAUAUGUGAGUCCUCAGCUCCAUUCAUUUUGUUGGUUUUAAAUUUCAUUUAUCAAUAUCUCUGGUUUCUUUAAUUCAGGUCAUUAUCAAAUAAUGUAAAUAAUAACUAACAUAUUAAUAACUUAUAAUGUGCAGACACUGUUGUUAAAUAGUUAAAAUGUGUCAGUUUCAAGUAGGGACAAUUAUUGUUCCUUUACAGAUGAGGAAACGGAAGCCCAGAGAGGCUAGAUAACCUGACCCUGCAUACAACCUAGGCUCAUAGAGGCAGCAGCCUGUGUUGUCACCUACUCCAGACUCCUCUAUCUCGGGACGAGGGACUUUUGGGUUGCUAAGAACUGAACUCCUAAUUUUCUGUGCACACUAAAUAGAAAAACUUAGCUACUCUUUCUUAUGAAUUCAAACAAUUUCUGGGAGAAGUCAUACAUGUGAGCAUUAUGUAAUGAUGAGUCAACUGUUUGAAAGGUUUGGGAGUGAUACACUGCUAAUAUUGCUAAUUGUCUUAUCACUAAAGUUAUAACCUUACACAAUGUUUAUUGUAAAUAUUCUUCAGGGAGAGUUUGGUUAUUUAAGUGAUUUCUGACUUUGUGUAUACAUUCAAGUCAAGGGUGACUUGCCAUGUUCUUUUCAAUACUAAUACUUAACAAUAAAAUAUUAAAUUCACACAAUUCACCUACAUUCCUCCUUUUUAAUUUAUUGAUUUUAGUGAUGGGGGCGGUAAGAGGGAGAGAGAGAGAAACAUCAA